RNAcentral lists this ribosomal RNA (468 nucleotides) under uncultured bacterium. RNAcentral describes it as "partial 16S ribosomal RNA". It matches the Rfam family "Bacterial small subunit ribosomal RNA", at positions 28 to 507 of the family's 1533-position model. The record is from RNAcentral.
GACGAACGCUGGCGGCGUGCUUAACACAUGCAAGUCGAACGGAAAGGCCCUGCUUUUGUGGGGUGCUCGAUUGCCGAACGGGUGAGGAACACGUGAGUAACCUGCCCCUGACUUUGGGAUAACUUCAGGAAACUGGGGCUAAUACCGGAUAGGAUCUCUUGCUCCAUGGUGGGGGUUGGAAAGUUUCGGCGGUUGGGGAUGGACUCGCGGCUUAUCAGCUCGUUGGUUGGGUAGUGGCUUACCAAGGCAUUGACGGGUAGCCGGCCUGCGAGGGUGACCGGCCACAUUGGGACUGAGAUACGGCCCAGACUCCUACGGGAGGCAGCAGUGGAGAAUAUUACACAAUGGGCGGAAGCCUGAUGCAGCGACGCCGCGUGCGGGAUAACGGCCUUCGGGUUGUAAACCGAUUUCGCAUGUGACGAAGCGUGAGUGACGGUAAUGGGUAAAGAAGCACCGGCUAACUACGUG